GACGAACGCUGGCGGCGUGCCUAAUACAUGCAAGUCGAGCGAAGAGUUGCUGGUGCUUGCACUAGAAAAACUUAGCGGCGAACGGGUGAGUAACACGUAAAGAACCUGCCUCAUAGACUGGGACAACUAUUGGAAACGAUAGCAAAUACCGGAUAACAGCAUUAACUGCAGGGUUGAUGUUUAAAAGUGGGUUUUGCUAACACUAUGAGAUGGCUUUGCGGUGCAUUAGCUAGUUGGUGGGGUAAAGGCCUACCAAGGCGACGAUGCGUAGCCGACCUGAGAGGGUGAUCGGCCACACUGGGACUGAGACACGGCCCAGACUCCUACGGGAGGCAGCAGUAGGGAAUCUUCCGCAAUGGGCGAAAGCCUGACGGAGCAACGCCGCGUGAGUGAAGAAGGAUUUCGGUUCGUAAAGCUCUGUUGUUAGGGAAGAAUGAUUGUGUAAUAACUAUACACAGUAGUGACGGUACCUAACCAGAAAGCCACGGCUAACUACGUG
RNAcentral lists this ribosomal RNA (499 nucleotides) under uncultured bacterium. RNAcentral's name for it is "partial 16S ribosomal RNA". It matches the Rfam family "Bacterial small subunit ribosomal RNA", at positions 28 to 507 of the family's 1533-position model. The record is from RNAcentral.